This 516-nucleotide ribosomal RNA is filed under the name Bacillus paralicheniformis. RNAcentral describes it as "bacterial SSU rRNA". It matches the Rfam family "Bacterial small subunit ribosomal RNA", at positions 907 to 1410 of the family's 1533-position model. Lineage: Bacteria; Bacillati; Bacillota; Bacilli; Caryophanales; Bacillaceae. The record is from RNAcentral.
GAAUUGACGGGGGCCCGCACAAGCGGUGGAGCAUGUGGUUUAAUUUCAAAGCAACCCGAAGACCUUUCCAGGUCUUGACAUCCCUCUGACAAACCCUUGAGAAUAGGGGUUUCCCCUUCGGGGGCAGAGUGACCAGGUGGUGCAUGGUUGUCGUCCAGCUCGUGUCGUGAAGAUGUUGGGUUAAGUCCCGCAAACGAGCGCAACCCUUGAUCUUUAGUUGCCCAGCAUUCAGUUGGGCACUCUAAGGGUGACUGCCGGUGACAAACCGGAGGAAGGUGGGGGAUGACGUCAAAUCAUCAUGCCCCUUUAUGACCUGGGCUACACACGUGCUACAAUGGGCAGAACAAAAGGGCAGCGAAGCCGCGAGGCUAAGCCAAUCCCACAAAUCUGUUCUCAGUUCGGAUCGCAGUCUGCAACUCGACUGCGUGAAGCUGGAAUCGCUAGUAAUCGCGGAUCAGCAUGCCGCGGUGAAUACGUUCCCGGGCCUUGUACACACCGCCCGUCACACCACGAGAG